This 430-nucleotide ribosomal RNA is filed under the name uncultured bacterium. Its description in RNAcentral is "bacterial SSU rRNA". It matches the Rfam family "Bacterial small subunit ribosomal RNA", at positions 355 to 777 of the family's 1533-position model. The record is from RNAcentral.
UUAGGAAUAUUCGUCAAUGGGGGAAACCCUGAACGAGCAAUGCCGCGUGAGUGAUGAAGGCCCUAUGGGUUGUAAAACUCUGUUGUUUGGAAAGAAUUGUACAAGUAGGAAAUGACUUGUGCUUGACGGUACCAUUCAAGAAAGCCACGGCUAACUACGUGCCAGCAGCCGCGGUAAUACGUAGGUGGCGAGCGUUAUCCGGAUUUAUUGGGCGUAAAGCGUCCGCAGCCGGUUUUGUAAGUCUAGAAUAAAAGCCUGGGGCUCAACCCCAGUUCGUUUUAGAAACUGCAAGGCUAGAGUGUGGUAGAGGCAAAUGGAAUUUCUAGUGUAGCGGUAAAAUGCGUAGAUAUUAGAAGGAACACCAGUGGCGAAGGCGAUUUGCUGGGCCAUCACUGACGGUCAGGGACGAAAGCGUGGGGAGCAAAUAGGA